GAUGAACGCUGGCGGCGUGCCUAAUACAUGCAAGUCGAGCGAACAGACGAGGAGCUUGCUCCUCUGACGUUAGCGGCGGACGUGUGAGUAACACGUGGAUAACCUACCUAUAAGACUGGGAUAACUUCGGGAAACCGGAGCUAAUACCGGAUAAUAUAUUGAACCGCAUGGUUCAAUAGUGAAAGACGGUUUUGCUGUCACUUAUAGAUGGAUCCGCUCCGCAUUAGCUAGUUGGUAAGGUAACGGCUUACCAAGGCAACGAUUCGUAGCCGACAUGAGAGGGUGAUCGGCCACACAGGAACUGAGACACGGUCCAGACUCCUACGGGAGGCAGCAGUAGGGAAUCUUCCGCAAUGGGCGAAAGCCUGAAGGAGCAACGCAGAGUGAGUGAUGAAGGUCUUAGGAUCGUAAAACUCUGUUAUUAGGGAAGAACAAAUGUGUAAGUAACUAUGCACGUCUUGACGGUACCUAAUCAGAAAGCCACGGCUAACUACGUG
Molecule: ribosomal RNA, 497 nt
Filed under: uncultured bacterium
Lineage: Bacteria
Description: partial 16S ribosomal RNA
Rfam family: Bacterial small subunit ribosomal RNA
Source: RNAcentral